UGGGGAAUUUUGGACAAUGGGCGAAAGCCUGAUCCAGCAAUGCCGCGUGUGUGAAGAAGGCCUUCGGGUUGUAAAGCACUUUUGUCCGGAAAGAAAUCCUUGGCUCUAAUACAGUCGGGGGAUGACGGUACCGGAAGAAUAAGCACCGGCUAACUACGUGCCAGCAGCCGCGGUAAUACGUAGGGUGCAAGCGUUAAUCGGAAUUACUGGGCGUAAAGCGUGCGCAGGCGGUUUGCUAAGACCGAUGUGAAAUCCCCGGGCUCAACCUGGGAACUGCAUUGGUGACUGGCAGGCUAGAGUAUGGCAGAGGGGGGUAGAAUUCCACGUGUAGCAGUGAAAAUGCGUAGAGAUGUGGAGGAAUACCGAUGGCGAAGGCAGCCCCCUGGGCCAAUACUGACGCUCAUGCACGAAAGCGUGGGGAGCAAACAGGAUUAGAUACCCUGGUAGUCCACGCCCUAAAACGAUGUCAACUAGUUGUUGGGGAUUCAUUUCCUUAGUAACGUAGCUAACGUGUGAAGUUGACCGCCUGGGGAGUACGGUCGCAAGAUUAAAACUCAAAUGAAUUGACGGGGUCAUAGCUGUUUCCU
RNAcentral lists this ribosomal RNA (587 nucleotides) under uncultured bacterium. RNAcentral's name for it is "partial 16S ribosomal RNA". It matches the Rfam family "Bacterial small subunit ribosomal RNA", at positions 355 to 1375 of the family's 1533-position model. The record is from RNAcentral.